CACRUGCAAGUCGAGGGGCAGCGGGAGAAAGCUUGCUUUUUUGCCGGCGACUGGCGCACGGGUGCGCAACGCGUAUGGAACCUACCCUUGUCCGGGGAAUAGCCCAGAGAAAUUUGGAUUAAUGCCCCAUAGUACCCCUUUGUUGCAUAAUUGGGGGGUUAAAGAUUUAUCGGACAGGGAUGGCCAUGCGUACCAUUAGUUAGUUGGCGGGGUAACGGCCCACCAAGGCAUCGAUGGUUAGGGGCCCUGAGAGGGGGAUCCCCCACACUGGUACUGAGACACGGACCAGACUCCUACGGGAGGCAGCAGUGAGGAAUAUUGGACAAUGGACGGAAGUCUGAUCCAGCCAUGCCGCGUGCGGGAAGAAGGCCCUACGGGUUGUAAACCGCUUUUAUACGGGAAGAAAAAGGGCUACGUGUAGCCUAUUGACGGUACCGUAAGAAUAAGGACCGGCUAACUCCGUGCCAGCAGCCGCGGUAAUACGGAGGGUCCGAGCGUUAUCCGGAAUCAUUGGGUUUAAAGGGUCCGUAGGCGGGCCGUUAAGUCAGGGGUGAAAGUYUGCGGCUCAACYGUAGAACUSCCCUUGAUACUGGCGGUCUUGAGUCAUAUUGGAGUGGGCGGAAUAUGUAGUGUAGCGGUGAAAUGCAUAGAUAUUACAUAGAACACCGAUCGCGAAGGCAGCUCACUAACUAUGUACUGACGCUGAUGGACGAAAGCRUGGGGAGCGAACGG
Molecule: ribosomal RNA, 732 nt
Filed under: Flavobacteriaceae bacterium MAR_2009_75
Lineage: Bacteria; Pseudomonadati; Bacteroidota; Flavobacteriia; Flavobacteriales; Flavobacteriaceae
Description: bacterial SSU rRNA
Rfam family: Bacterial small subunit ribosomal RNA
Source: RNAcentral